Molecule: long non-coding RNA, 424 nt
Filed under: Helianthus annuus (common sunflower)
Lineage: Eukaryota; Viridiplantae; Streptophyta; Magnoliopsida; Asterales; Asteraceae
Description: hypothetical non coding rna
Source: RNAcentral
UUUAUCCAUCCUUCGGGCUUCAACCCUACAUCGAACAUCCCCCUUCACGAAUUUUAGGAGUUCAACUGAAGAUGAUGGUUAGACAAGUUCUAAGGGACUGAAGUUUACUAAAUAGAAGAAGUGAAGGAAGGGGAUGGGUGAUGGGGGACUGAAGUUCAGGUUCAACUAAAUUGAAGUUCAGGGAUACUUUAUUAUAAGAAGACAUAGGUUUUUUCUAGGUUUGAGGGGAUGAUUGAGGAAGACAAUGUGAAAAUGACAAUAAUACCCUCACAUGCGAUGCAUAUGAGGGUAGUUAACCAAGAAAAUAAACGAGGUUAAAGGCUGUAUUCUGUAUCAAAAUAUGAGCUUAAAUGUUGGGUUUGACCGAUUUCAUAGUGAAAGUUGAACACAUGUCGAAACAUCAAUGGUGAAGUCAAUAUCCACG